Molecule: long non-coding RNA, 1201 nt
Organism: Varroa destructor (honeybee mite)
Lineage: Eukaryota; Metazoa; Arthropoda; Arachnida; Mesostigmata; Varroidae
Source: RefSeq, a predicted model, not a curated record
UCAGCAUCUGCUUCACGAGAUACACGAACAUGUAAAAAGCCUGCUGUCCUAGGUCCUCUAUACGCACGUCAUAUAUCGUUAGCGUAAAGUGUUUCUAUAUCAUAGAGCCACUUUUCGGGUCGGCACGAUGUCCUUGCAGACUUUUCCCAGGGGCUACAGUGAAUGGAGCGUCGGCAUGUGCUAUUCCAUGCAACGUCGAACAAUAUAAAUAAACCGAUUCUAUCGUUGAAGAACCUGUCGACCUCGGGAGAGAUCCGAUCGAUUCAUGUCGAUGUGUAUACAUCGUCGCCAACGGUGUAGUUGAGAUGGGUGAUGAUCGUCACGCACACAUCUCUCAAACUGAAGGCCGUGUGUUAGGCCGAAUAACAAAUAACAAUCUCCUAUAGUCGUCAGAAAGCGUCGAUGGUUUAGGUCGAAAAGUGCGGCCUCUGAUGAUUGUGUUACGCCCGAUAGCUUCUAUGAGCCUCUCUGGAUACUGGAUGCCGGCCCUCGGUGAUCUAAUUUACGCGCGUCGCAAGUACAGAACCAACAUGGCAGCUAAUGGCCAACUAUAUAUUUAGGUAGCUUUAUUCGGUGUCGACCUUGCUUCUUUUUACAUUGUUUCCCUAGACGGGGAAUGUCGACGACCGAUGAUCGAGUUAUCCUAACAGCGACCGGAGACCAGUGCUAUUUCUCGUUUCGAAUUGAACGCGGACAAAGACACCAAUAUAACGCAUAGAUAGUUGUAUUACAAGCCACUCCAGUUUCUCCCACCUCUAUAGCUAACUACUUUUAAUAAAAGUCAAUUCUAUUUAUAUAAUUUAACUUUUUACCAGAUCACUGUGACUGAAGAUGCCAUUGGAUUUAGCAACGGAAUACUGGUUAUGGUAAGAAGUGCUUCGGCGGGUAGCCAGGCGAGACCGACUGCGACAAUUGUUACGGUGGUGCUCGCUGCAUUUCAACACUCUAGUGAAAAAGGACAAUAAACAACGUUAAUAGCACGUAUAUUUCUAGCGGCAAGUGCAUCAGUAUUCCAGAUUAACUUUAAGUUUGCGGAACUAUGCUUUGAACCGUUUGCGUCUCUAGAAAAGAAUCCUUAGAUUUGAAGUAAUAAAUGACGACGGACAUUGAAAGGUGCUGCGUCCUAAUUGAGUUCUACUUUCGAUCCUUCAUAUCUUCAACAUUCUUCUUUCUCGACGUGUUGCAAACUUAUGUAAAGUGA